This 242-nucleotide unclassified non-coding RNA is filed under the name Xylodon sp. RNAcentral's name for it is "partial contains 5.8S ribosomal RNA, internal transcribed spacer 2, and large subunit ribosomal RNA". The stretch from base 1 to 52 matches the Rfam family "5.8S ribosomal RNA", at positions 103 to 154 of the family's 154-position model. The record is from RNAcentral. Lineage: Eukaryota; Fungi; Basidiomycota; Agaricomycetes; Hymenochaetales; Schizoporaceae. RNAcentral also lists the same sequence under 1 other name.
AACGCACAUUGCGCCCUCUGGUAUUCCGGGGGGCAUGCCUGUUCGAGCGUCAUUACAACCUCAAGCUCAGCUUGGUAUUGGUGGAUCGCCCUUCCGGGGCGGCCCCGAAAAUCAGCGGCACAGCUGCCCGACCCUAAGCGUAGUAAUAUUUCUCGCGGAGAGGUGCUCGGGUGGUCUGCUGCCGGAUAACUAUCAUAUCAAUUGUUGACCUCGGAUCAGGUAGGGAUACCCGCUGAACUUAA